CCUACGGGAGGCAGCAGUGGGGAAUAUUGCACAAUGGGGGAAACCCUGAUGCAGCGACGCCGCGUGAGUGAAGAAGUAUUUCGGUACGUAAAGCUCUAUCAGCAGGGAAGAAAAUGACGGUACCUGACUAAGAAGCCCCGGCUAACUACGUGCCAGCAGCCGCGGUAAUACGUAGGGGGCAAGCGUUAUCCGGAUUUAUUGGGUUUAAAGGGUGCGCAGGCGGUCUGUUAAGUCAGCGGUCAAAGCCCGGGGCUCAACCCCGGCCCGCCGUUGAAACUGGCAGUCUCGAGUUGGAGAGAAGUAUGCGGAAUGCGCGGUGUAGCGGUGAAAUGCAUAGAUAUCGCGCAGAACUCCGAUUGCGAAGGCAGCAUGCCGGCUCCACACUGACGCUGAGGCACGAAAGCGUGGGUAUCGAACAGGAUUAGAUACCCUAGUAGUC
This 439-nucleotide ribosomal RNA is filed under the name uncultured bacterium. RNAcentral describes it as "partial 16S ribosomal RNA". It matches the Rfam family "Bacterial small subunit ribosomal RNA", at positions 338 to 795 of the family's 1533-position model. The record is from RNAcentral.